Molecule: unclassified non-coding RNA, 252 nt
Filed under: soil metagenome
Description: partial contains small subunit ribosomal RNA, internal transcribed spacer 1, and 5.8S ribosomal RNA
Source: RNAcentral
UCUCCGUUGGUGAACCAGCGGAGGGAUCAUUACCGAAGUUACCCUUCAAACCCAAUGUGAACCUUACCCCUUGCCGCGUUGCCUCGGCGGGAGGUCUGGGGUGGGUCCGGGGAAGCCCCUCAGCGGGCCGACCCGUCCCGCCCCCGGCCCCCGCCGGCCGCGCCAAACUCUUCAUUUGCAAAGCGGACUGCAUGCUCUGAUUUAGAUUUUGAAAACAAGUCAAAACUUUCAACAACGGAUCUCUUGGUUCUG